Molecule: long non-coding RNA, 2470 nt
Organism: Microplitis mediator
Lineage: Eukaryota; Metazoa; Arthropoda; Insecta; Hymenoptera; Braconidae
Exons: 6
Source: RefSeq, a predicted model, not a curated record
CUAAAUUUAAUCAAAAUUAACAAAAGUUAUGGAAGUUUUUACUUUUUUUUCUCAUAAUUUUCUUUUAUGACUCAAAAUUUAAAUUUAUGAUAAAAACUUAAACUAGAUUUAAAAAACAUAUUUAAAUAAUAUCUCUAUAAAAAUAUUGAUUAGUUUUUUGUCUACAGACACUGAGGUCCUAUAGACCCCUGGUGACUAUUAUGUUUCGUGCCGGAAGUGUCAAUUAGUUUUCAAUAAAUAAAUAAACUGGAAGUCCUGAUAAAUGUUUAUACGAUUCAUAAAAAUUAGUCGAUUCGUUUAAAAAGUAUCAUAAAUGUAAAAUUUAAAAAAGUUAUUACUUUAACAUGUUUUAACAAUAAAAUUUCAUUAUUAAUAUUCAGUAAUUUUUAUCACUUAAAUGACUAAUUAAAUCGCUCGCAUUAAAACUACCAAUGAAAAUAACUCACCAAAUAUCUUUCAGUAGCAACGGAAACAAGAAUAAGGUCGUCACCAACACGAACUUUUUCACCCUCGGAUCUUUGUUUUGAUGCUGGAUGUACUGUCCACCAACAAGCCUCUCCUGUUUAACAGAAGUACAAAAUAAUUAAGAGGAUUGCGGCUCUAAGUCAUUUGUUUAAUGCUGAGGAAUCUCUUAAUUCUGUAUAGAUUACAGAGACUAAUUAAGUAGCUAACUUACCUUGAGAGUGCUCUUGUAGACCAACAUCAAACGACAAUUUGUCAUUGGAUGAACUUGUUGACAGACAGGCGAGGAAAUUAAGAGAAACUACAGUUCACGUGCUAAUGAUUAAAUACUUACAAGGGUGUCUUGUUGCUGGAAAUGAAAAAACACAAAUCGGAAUGAAUUACAUACAAAUGGAACAAUUGAGUUAUUUUAAAAAAAAUAUAUAAGGAUGAAUGCAAUUUCUUUGCUCGGUAUUUUCAACAUAAAAAAAAAAGGGAUCACAUUGACACAUGCGAUUGUUUAAAGGUGGAUACAACACGCUGAUGCAUUUUUCAGAAUUUGUAAUUCCUUUUGUUUACAUGUAUUAAUACACUUACGUAUUUUGUAUUAUUUUUUAUUAUUCGAACAAAAAUAUGGUGCAUUAAAUUAUGUCGAACACCACGUAGUUUAUUUUUAUAAGCAAUAUUUAAAUUAUGUGAUGUCUCGAAAGCUUCGAGAUAAAUAAAAUUAAUAACAUGUAUAUGGGGGUUAAAUAUUUUUGACUGCGGUAAUUAGACUUUAAUUUUUUUUUUUUUUUUUUGGUAUUAAAAAGUAGUUUUGUUAGUUACGUUACCGUCUCUGAACCAGCUGCUGUGACUAAUUCUUGUAAAGCUCGUACGGAGAGAGCUUGUUCUAUUACAAAGACACAUUGCGAAAGAUCUGGUGGUACAUUCUGAAAUCACAUCAACAUUCGCUGUUUGGAACAUUAAAGUUUAUGUAAAAAAGUAAAAGAACAUUAAGUAUGAUAAAUAAAAUUUUCAAUGUCGAGCAAUGGAUUUUAUAUACAACGUUAUAUAAUUAUUACUUUCUUGAAAUUGUCAAAAAGUAUAUCUUAAGCGCGUCAGUUUUUAUAGUUUGAAACAAUAAAAUUUUACUUAUGUUUGUGGGCUUCCAAUGUAUGUGGAAGAAUUAACCUAAAGUAUUACUGAUGCGACUAUAUCUACAUGGCAAGAUGACGUAUUUUAUCAUUUCAAACAAUAAAAUUUAAAGACCAAAAGUGACUAUUUUUUUUUCAUAUCAAUAUAUUUUAGAGAAUCACUCUUAUACUUGUUCGCUUUCAAUAGCUAAUAUGCGCCAUGGCAAAAUCUACAAUUAUUGAUGAUAAUCAGAAAUUAUCUUUUAUUAUCUUAACUAAUUAUAACUAUUAUCAACAUCAUAAUUCUUAAUAACCUGAUGGUAUCAAAUACCAUCAGCCCAAAUAAUAAUUACUAUUUAAGCUGACACUUCUCUACAUGUAAUUUUUUCUUUGUUUAACUGUGUAUGUAAUGAAUUUCACUUAAUACUUGAAUGAUUGCUAUUUUGAUGACCAUAGCCCCUAGUAACACGUGUUCGAGCAAAAUUCAGGACAUUUUUACCACCUUCAAUGGUAGCAGUUACCAUCUUCGAUUGUAAUCAUUAUAAUCUUUAAUAGUUACAAUUAACAUCUACGAUAGUAAUCGUCACCACCAUCAAUUGUUACUGUUAUCAUUUUCAACGGCGAUUGUGUAUGCAGUUAAACGGAGAGAAUGAAACGUGAAUAAUUCAAUUGACGACAGGGUAAAAUAGACUAUGGUAAGGCGAUGAAACUCAGGGGAAACUUCGAGAUUAUACAGACGCAGGUCAAGGACGAAAAAAAAAUAUUGUUUAUUAUUUUUUUUUAUUUUCAAUUAAAUACUCGAAUGAAUAAAUUAGUUUUAUUUAUAUAUUUUUUUUUUAAUUAUACAUAUUUGUUAAAUUAAAUUGAAUAUUUAGUUACAUUUUGUAAUAAUUAUACAUCUCUUUCAUCUAAAA